This 736-nucleotide ribosomal RNA is filed under the name Leucocoprinus cepistipes. Its description in RNAcentral is "eukaryotic LSU rRNA". The stretch from base 303 to 456 matches the Rfam family "5.8S ribosomal RNA". Lineage: Eukaryota; Fungi; Basidiomycota; Agaricomycetes; Agaricales; Agaricaceae. The record is from RNAcentral.
GGGGUUAAUUGAAAAUUGCCUUGAUGGGUUGUCGCUGGCCUUUCGGGGCAUGUGCACGCCUGUCUUGACUUCUAUUCAUCCACCUGUGCACCCAUUGUAGUUCUUUUCAAUUUCUGAGGGUCGAGGAAGCGGCGUUCUACUCGGUGGCAAAACCGGAUUUGAAGACUGCCCUUUGAGGAUUUUCUCUGUAGUCGGGGAAUCUGGCCUUUGGUCUGAGAAAAGGGCUAUGUCUUUAUCAUAAACCGUGUAUGAUGUUGCCAUAAUGUAUUCAAUGGGCCUUCGUGCCUAUAUAAACCUUAUACAACUUUCAUCAACGGAUCUCUUGGCUCUCGCAUCGAUGAACAACGGACCCAAAUGCGAUAAAUAAUGUGAAUUGCAUAAUUCAAUGAAUCAUCAAAUCUUUGAACGCACCUUGCGCUCCUUGGUAUUCCCAGGAUCAUGCCUGUUUGAUUGUCAGUAAAUUCUCAGCUCCUCCAGUUUUUGUGACUGCAAACGGACCUUGUACGUGAAGGUCUUGCGGGCCCUGUUUCAAUGGGUCGGCUCCCCUGAAAUGCAUUAGCGGAACCCUUUGCAAUCCCUCACAGGUGUGAUAAUGAUCUACGCCAGUGGGGCGCUCUCUGUCUCGUUCAGCUGCCCACCCUCCGCCAGGACAAACUCUUACUGAACCUUUGACCUCAAAUCAUGUAGGACUAUCCGCUGAACUUAAGGAUAUCCAUAACCGGAGAAUUAAGAAUAU